Bombus huntii is the source of this 10167-nucleotide long non-coding RNA. RefSeq lists it as uncharacterized. The record is from RefSeq and is a predicted model, not a curated record. The transcript has 8 exons. Lineage: Eukaryota; Metazoa; Arthropoda; Insecta; Hymenoptera; Apidae.
UGAAAAAGGAAUUGUUCCUAUUAGUAUGGAAUUUUAUUGGCAGAAAUGAUUAGAAAAGAAGAAAAGGAGGUAGUAAAUCGCCCGUACGAAGCCUAUGCUAAUGAGAAUAUCUUUUUGACAUUUCUGAAACAAAUAAAAAUUGAAAAUAUCAAGAGCAAGCAGAGUUCGGAUUGCGAUACCAGAUGCUUCGAGUCGAAAUUUUCCUUUUUCCCCGUUUCUUAAAAAAGCUGGGACGCAUCUUUGACGCGCGGACUGUCACCAGGAAUACUUGUACCUGCCUGUUACAAUAAUCGAUGUUUUAGUUUAUCGUCUUUUACGAGUUGGCUCUUGAAUUAAGCGUUAUGGGGAAAAAUCAACAACUGUUGUGAGCGUCGAGUACCAACGAGCGAUUUUAAUCUGUUAUCGAAGCUGUUAGCGAGAAGACGGCAACGACGAUUAAUAAUACAUCUUCAAGAACCGUGGACAGCAUUUACUUUUUACAAAUACAUCUCUAGUCCCAUCUGUAUUUGAUCGCGCCUUAUCAAAGAUCAAAAUUUUCCAUUGGAAACGUCGGCUCCGAUUAAUUCAGCUCGUUCCCGGCAGCGAGUAUAACGCGCAUAAAUCACUCGUAAUGGAAGAAGGUGACGACUGGUUGUAAACAACGGAAAGAAAGGGAAGGAGCGAAGGUCGCGAAGAAAAGCGCUUUGAAUCCGCCGGUGGUGAGCCCUUCCGCGCGACUUUCCGCGUGUGUUUUGUAGUACGACUGAUGCGUAGGGCGGAGAGACCUUAUCUAAAAGCCACGAAGAGGUACUAGACGAGGCAAGUACUCUCUCGCCGCUCCCAUUCGUUAAUUCCUUUUCCACCGAUAAUCCACUCGUCGAAGCCCGUGGAGUUUCGGGCGUGCGGCGACUUCGAGAGGUCUACAAACAGCCUUGCUUGCCUCAACGCGUUCUUGCAUUCUCCACUUUCGCGUGUCACCCGCUCGUUUCGCCGUUCCUUUUGUCCUGGCUAAAACCUUGUUACUGUUUUCGCGUUUGACUUCUUUCGAGCAACUUUUGCAUCCGCGGAUCGUGACUCGUGUCGUGAGAUUUGUCGUGAUGAGAUUUUAAUCGAACGAUCGACGCUAUACAGAGAAUGGGAAAUAUAUUAUCCGGAAAAUGUGCAGAACUUCCAGCAAUUCGUAUUGAGCACGUAUCGAUAUCUGCGAUCGUGUUCGAGCCAUAAACGUAUAGGCAACGACAGUGAAAGAUCCGACGAGAUGAAGACGGGAUGAACUGUCGGAGAGAAUUGUUAUUUCAAGGGAACGGCCUGUCCGUCAGUCCGUUUGUCCGUUGCUCCCGCAACGGCGCGGUGUGUAAACAGAGAAAGUUGAACGAGAUAGGGAUAUAACUGGUGUGUACUCGCAGACCACGGAGGAAAGAAAUUCGUGGCGAAUACCGACUCUCGACGAGGAGAGCAACUUUCGUGUCUAUAAAGUUUAGAAACCAAGCCGAGCUUACGAAUAACUGGACAACUCGAUAUCACCUUCGUCGAAAAAAUAAUCUAUCAAAUGGCUGCUUGUACGAAACGAAUGAAAGGAAAGGAGGAACAACUUGUUUAUUUUCGAUGGGUACGACGAAUCCGAUGCGAAAAGGCAGCAGGGCCCGCAGGGGUCCGACCGAGGUUUACUCAACACCGAGAAAGGGGCAGCUUAACUUUAACUUUCGAUUAACUCGUGGUUAACUCUCGUUCAGCCAGAGGGAGUUGGCGCGAAGGAAAAAUCGCAGGAAAAAGGGAUUACAUUUGCGAGGCUUGACUUUAGUCACAGAUGUGUUUCCACCGCAAAGUGCAAGGAACCGCAACGAUGAGCUUGCGAAUACCAGGAUCAAGCAACGUCAAAUUAUGAUUAGGGCUGUUAAUUGUCCCGUGUUGACUCUUCUGAGUGGUGGCCCGUGGGCAAACACGAUUCCCGCCUCCCUUUUGUUGUUUUAACUCAAUACCAUCGGCCGGGGAUGACUUACCGAUUACUAGUCGGAUGUCUGAAAACCUGGGGUCUACGGCCCGGCAAAUAGAAAUGACUUUCCAGUUUCUCUCAAACGAGCCAGUGAACUAAUUCGCGUUCAACGUGAACGAACAAACGUCUCUUCCUCGUUCUUCAACGAUGGAAGGUGAAUACAUGCUUUAAAUUUCUCCAAAAUAUAUAACUUUUGUGUUCACACACUUUGAAUAUUGGAAAGGAUAAUUUUUUUAAUCUCAGAAUACUUUACAGGGAAAGAGAGAGAGAGAGAGAGAGAGAGAGAAAGAGAGAGAGAAUUGUAUCCGAUCAAUUGCAUUUACAAAUGUCUAAACAAUUUAAAGAAGAAGAUUUGAUGAAAUCGCGAGGACCAUUGGACCAGCCUUUUCGCUCGUGAUCGCACUUUUCCGCCCUCUAAUUUCUUCGUCGUUUCACGGCAGGGAUGAUCCAAUAGCCUGGGAAGCGGAUGUUUGCGGUUCAAAAUGUAUGCACCCUCGCAUACCGUCCCGGAGGUGCAGCGAGAUUACAAAAGAACGGGUCCGCGCAGUUCUACAGUACGCGUAGCGCAAAAAGAAAUUGGUGGCGUAUUACGCGACAGGCACGUUCGAGUGUAUUUACAAUACACUCGUAAAGCUGCCUCUUCGUCGCGAUAAUUGACGCAAACACGGCGAAAAACUCAUAAGACGACGGCUGUAUCGCGUAGGUCUGUCCGCAUUGGGAGAACAAUUGUUGCCGAUUAUUUUCAAACAGCUGGAGAGACUGCUUAGAAACACUAGCGGAAUCCUUUCCGUUGCGAUCGAUGCACCAUUUAUGCGAGGUUUCGUCGUACAAGUAGAAACGUAAAAAACAAACAGAGACUUUCGAAACACGUUAAUAUUCCUCUAAAUACCGUAUCAAAAGUUUAAAGAGUUGCAGGGAUUUAUGAAUCUAUCGUCGUUUUGAUGCCAACAAAUGUCACUUAAGAUCUGCCAACUCGGCCGUUACCUUGACCAAAAUCGAUUGGUCGUCGACGCUGCUACCUCAAGUGCUUGUAACCGAUCGCCGACUUUUGCAGUGACCUGUAGGUUCCAUGGGAAGACGAGGAAAAAGAGAGGAACGCAAUUACGCCGGCCACAUGCUGCCGGUGUGCGUGGCGAUGGCGCGGUAUGACGCGGGGGCGGCCGCAAAAGCCGACGACAUAUUCAUGCGUGCGUUAUUAUGCGAGGGAGCCGUGAGUGCACUCGAGAGAUACGCGCACGCGUUCCACGACGUCCAAUUAACCGCACGCAUUUCGUCACCAAAGGAAUUUCACGCGUGGAACGCGCGCAUGCCCGCCUCGAUCCUUCAAGAUCACUUCCGAUAUCUUCGAACAUAGAACCUAAAAAAGGUACGUCUUUGCGGUGAUAUGUUAAGUAAAAGAUCUCCGUUUCUCGACUACGUAGCUCGUAAAUAUCUGCUGGAAAUCUCAACAAGUCUAGACUAGUCAUCUAAUUCGAGCAACGUCUUUGAAAUAAAAGAGGAACUUUAAUCGUCACGAACAACGAUAUUAAAUAGUUUUUAAUGGAAAUCGCAGGCCAGACACAUUAGCUGUUUUCUUGUUAAUUAAUUUCUUGUGGCAAGAUGCAGGGUCGACGCAGCGAUCCUAGCACGUAAACAGCUUUACUCGCGGUUGUCGAAAACUUUCGUGGCGAGAAAAUUUUCACGGCUGACACUUUUCCACGGGUGUUUCGUCCAGUCGACGAUCCGUUUCCCGUCUUUGGGACGACGCUGUCCCUCUCUCUCUCUCUCUCUCCCCCUCACUCUCUUCUUCCUCUUCGUCGCAUCAUCCCCUACUCCCCAUGUCUCCUUGGCGCGGGACACACAGAUGCGUCCCUCCAUUUUGCGCUCGCAUUGUUACUCCAAGUGCAGUCUCCCCAUUGUUACAAUGGCUGGCCACUCCUGGCAUUGUUGCCGGUAUUGUUAUUAUUAUCACUACUGUUACCGGUUGCGGCCGACCGGCGAAUGGAGAAGAGGAGAGCCAGCUGCUUCGUCGAGUGCCGCAUUAGAGGCAAAUUACACUCCCUCUGGCCCGCCUUCCUCUCUCUUUUUCUCUUUUUCACUAUGUCCCUCCAGGCUGGUUAUCUCGUUCUUUCUCAGUUACAUUCUGGAUUUCACCCCUUUUUCAAGCUCGAAAUUUCGAAUGGUCGAUCGGUAUCGGAUUCGAACGAAAGAUGCCUACCGAAUGCUAUCAACCUCUCUCGAACAUAUUUCAUACAACGACAUUCUCUUCUAGCAUUUAUUAUCAAUCUUUUAGCUUCUUCGACGCUCGCCUAAAACUCCUAAGCUUUUUAGGAUCGCUUUGCCAAAUGAAAUAGCGCAUUGUUAUGUCCUCGCGGUUACAUAAUUCAAGAAUCGAGACCGCGUGAACUCGAUACGUGCGAUAAUGCUCUUUAGAGCAGCCUGCGACAAUUUCUCGGUCAAACCACCCGUCAUAUCCUAUCCGAUGAUCGCGGAGCAAGAAGGCAGUGCGGAAAACGGGAACGAAGAAAAACGGCACGAGAAACCGACGUCAUCCAGGAUGCAUAAUUAAUCGGUCGCUACGUGGACGAAUUAAACGAGCAAUUCGAAGCACGAAAUUGAUCGCAACAAUUUAAUCGCGAGAGGCCGCGCAACGGGUCUCCGCAAAUUAUGCCCGGUGAGUUACAACGAGUUUAAAGCUCGUUAAAACGCGAAAGACCGACCUGUGCGGGAGAGAGAAGUUAAUUAGAAGGAAGUAAAAAAAGGAAAGAGAAAGGAAAAAGAAAAAAUGAAACGUGAUGGAAAUGAAGGAGAGAGGGAGAGAGGGAGAGAGAGAGAGAGAGAGAGAAGAAGAGAAUUUAUAUCAAGGGGAAUUUAGACGGCCUGCCGCGCGGCUGGCGAGCAUGGUGAAAGAGGGAGACAUUAAUUAAAGUGCAAAAAACGUGCGGCGAGUCUGAUCAAAAGUUAAAUAAUUAAUAGAAACCGCGAAGUUCAGGCGAGAUCGCGGAUUAAUGAAAAAUCACCGAAGUGCGGAAUUCGCGAGUCUCGAAACCGGUGGACGAAACAAUCGCCGCUCGCCUUCCAUUGUUUCCUCUUGAACAAUGACGAUUGACGUUAUUGUUAGCGCCAGCCAGAUCGUCCACUGGCUCCUUCUGCUACGGCUUUCGACCGGCGAAUGAAACGUUUCGAACGUCGCGUCGCGUCGCGUCGAAUACCGGGACGAUCGAGUUAAGGUGCUUCGACGUAAACAUCCAACUUGAAAAUGGGAUUUUGGCUGCUAGAGCAUUUCCAUCGCGGUGAAUUUGCGUUUAUCGUUUUAGAGUUGAUCCAUUGGUAAAAAAGGACUUUGCAAAGUAAAUGGAUACUUUGAAAGUAAAGCAAAUGCGAGCUCGCGAAACGGUUAUAUUCGAGGAGCGUUCGAUGUUCUUAAAAAUAAACUAACGAAAAAGUUUAAAAGCACCAUCGCGAAAUCCUCUCAAAAGAUUAAAAGAGAAAGAGUAUUUUUAUUACUCGAGAUUUUGGUCCUUUUUCGCAAAGAUUCUAUUUAUAUUUUAGUCACGGAAGAAAGGAAAUUUGACGAGAAGGCUGCUUCGCAAAUAUUGUUCCACCUUCGAGCAACCCUGUAUAAACGUUUUGCAUGCUGUGUAUAGAUUAGAAAGGAAUAUUAGAUGGUUCUAUAUGCACAUGCAAGGGGCGGAUCUGGCCAAGCUCGCUAUAAAUUUGCUCGUCCAUCGAAGGAGCCUUUAAUACUGUUUACGGAUAGCUCAAGCUUUUAAGGUAUUUUAUCUUGUCCUUACGUAAAUUGUCCCUUAUCUGACGACAUAAAAGUCGACUAGCACGGUAAAUUUAAUGUUCGAAUUUCAGGAUCAAUUGGAUCGAAUGUUUUCUGUCCAAAUAUUACGCAAUUGCAACGUGGAGAGACUAUCGAUAGCCGAAUAUCCACGUUCUAGACAGACAUCGAUGUUUCAUCGUCGGAAGAAACAAUAGGUUCGGUCGAAAUAAUGGAAUAUUAUUCUAUCGUAAGAAAUUACAGUUGGAAAGAAAAAAGCGUGUAAUGCAUCUUUCCUACGGCAGUAAGAUACACAAAGAUGAACAAAGAUACGAGGACGGGGAUUUUUCAGCAAAGAAGAUUUCUCGUCGGAAAAGCGCUUGCCCGGAAAAAAAAAGGAAGACGAGGGUGGAAAGAAGAAGGGGUAGGUACGAACGAACCGUGACAACUUAGCGCACGAGCCUUGCGAUUCAACCACGGAGAUAAUCGUAAUAAUGGGUUUGCCUACCACCGAAUCUACCCUCUUCGACUUUACACAGCAACCCCAAUAGGAGGAGCACCGAAGAGGACUAUGCGAGUUCAAUGUCGUGCAAACACGCGAAACGCCUCGGCGAUUCCUCGGCGAAAUGAUCGACAGGAUCGCGGAUCUUCUCUUUUCACGCGUGACACCACCUCUUUAAACGCCGUUUCUUGGGUCUCGUGGAUAACGUUCGAUAUUCCGGAACCGAUCGCACUUGAACGUAGAAACGACGAAACGAGUAAAUUUAUUUCAGCUGAAGCGACGUAAUAUUCCCGGAGAACUGCUACGGUUAUGGAAAAAGGAGAAGAUGAUCGCUAUUUUUGGCGGAAAAAUCGAAAGGCAGCGAGAAAUCUAAGCUAUGUUUUUCGGUUAAGAUUCGCGAAGAAAUCGUAAACCAAAAUGGUGACGGAAACAACGGACGCAACAACGAGAGAAUGAUCGAGAUUCUCUAUCGUUGUGUUCCUCAUCGGGAUCCAUCGUCAUCGAGCUGAACGAGCAGAAAGGAAUCGGUGCUUCUCGUCGUCGUUCGUCGAGUGCUCGUCUCGUUACUCGAAACGGGGUCGAUUUUGCGUGACGUUCUCCCGGAAACGAUCGAUGCGGCACUUUGGCCCGUCGAUCGGGCAAACGACAGGCGGAAAAUUCCUUUUUUUUUUUCUUUUCUGCUUGCUUCUCCUUCCUUCUUCCUAUUUUUUUUUUUUCUUUUUUUUUUUUGGCAUCUCUCGAUUCUUCGCAAGCUCUCGAAAGUGUGCUCGCGUCGAACUCGUGGCUCGAGUGUCUUGAAGAGCGCAGAUCGGUAUAUCUUCUUUUCGUUCGUUACGUCGUUCGACUCGUUAAUUCAGUAUCGAUUCUCGAUCGCGUCCCAAAGAAUCUUCCUCGAGGACCGUCGAGUCCGCAAUAGCCUUUUCUCGCGAUGAAAAAAUCUCCGUCUGUCUUCUCAUUUAGCUCGACUACCUCGAACGUAACUUGGAAGCUUUCACGGAUUUUCAGCUGUCUUUAAACGUCGCAGUUCGCUUGCAAAAAUUAUCUCGAUCCAAGGAAACAGAUUUAUCCGUAGAUUAAUCGAGCAUCGAGUAUCGGAAAUUUUGAUUCGAGGAUUUUGUAGAUGGUUUUCGAAUGGAAGAAAGUAAACACGCGAUAAGAAAGAUCUUCACGAACGGAACCCGUGAUACCGAAUUUUCCUCGGUAGAUACAUUUUUCGCGUAUGACGCGAAGCUGUAUUUCUGUAAUAUGUUUUCAAAACGAGCAGGUAACCCGAAUGUCGUCAAUCUCCUUUCAGAACGGAGUAGAACGUAAUCUCGGAGUUUGUACAGCACUUCAAAGAAGCGAUAGACAUCGUACGUGGUUCCGUAUGAAACUUAUCCAAAAAAUUCCUCAUAGAAUCUUUCGAAGAGAAAGAAGAAGAAGAAGAAGAAGAAGAAGAAGAAGAAGAAGAAGAACAAACAACAGAACUCAGACGAUCGGAACAACAAUUACCGAUAAUAUUCGAGCACCACACGAGUCUCCGCUUCGCAGAAACGCUUCUCCCGCUCGUAGCAACGCGACCAUGCUCCACUUCUUCCGACCUUUCCUCGUGUAAUAUCGCUUUCGAGACGGCGCGAGGGCACGUAAGAUUCACAGAGCUCUCACAUAAUGAUUCGUUAGUCUCCCCGUGCAGCCAUCGUGGGCUACCUACGGAGAGCACGACUUCGUACGUAGACUUCGAGUGGCCGUAAGUGGAUGGUACCGCAGGGUGGCGGCGCAGAUACACACACACACACACACACACACGAUACAUCUACACGUAUAUACGACAAACCGGGAGCUCGUUUGGUCUCUAUUUGUCCCCAGAAGUUCAAGAGUCCGCUAUAUAUAUACAUAUAGGUGCGCAUACACGUAAGAAUAUAUACAGGUAUACACGCGUACACACGCGUACAUAUAUAAAACCAUCAACUCCCAGUCGCGUUUCGUAUCUCUUUCUCUGCUUCGCUAUCUCUCCUUCGAACGUCUCUUUCCGCGUCCCGUUUCCGAGGCUGGCCUUCAUGGCCGGCAUUCACGGCUCGGGCGAGAUCCGAGUACCAUCGAGUCCGAAACUCGUUAUCGAAACUUAGGUGCGCGCGAGCGCAAAACAGCGGACUCGCCCCUGGCGAAAGCACGCGAAAAUCCGCGGCUGAUUGCAAUCAGCCCUCUUUGCGAACUUCCGCGCUCGAUUCCGCGUAGAUCUCGCCGAGUCACGGACUCGGGGGAGCCCCGACGACUUCCGGUUUAGGGAGCAACGCGCGAGCGCACACCUUCCGCUCGGCAUAGGUUGCGUUCAAAGUCUCGUUUCCAUUCUCUUCUUGGAGUUAGCGAAAAGAAUGGAUAGAGCUUGAGGUUGACGACGAUGAUGAUAACGAUGACGACGAUAGCGACGACGCCCACGGUGACGACGAUGAGUUGUUAAAGAAAAGGGAGGAGAGAAGAACGAGGAGACGAAGUAGUUUUUGUAGAACAAAGUCCCUUUAGACUCUAGAGAACGAAGCUUGUCUCGAGCAUUUUACGAAAGAACGUGGGUACUACGUCGAUGCUAUAUGCUACGAUGGAACGCUAUGUUGAUACGAUACUCGACAACCUGAUAUUUGCUAUAUCGUAUCGACUGAGAAAAUGGUCGAAAGUACUGGAUGAACGACAAGCGGAUUGAACGGAGAGACGCGCGGUAGACAAAACGGCAGACUGAACGAGGGGACGAGCGACCAGGAUGCAACCAAUGAGCUGCGCAACAAUUAUUUAUCGUUGCCAGACUGCCGCAUCGUGCCGAGCAGACCUGUCUGCCCAAUGAAGAUUGCUCGUUAAAAUCUGAUUCUGGCGGACCGCUUUAAAUGGCGACCGCCGAAACGAUUCGCUCGAGCCGACCGAAUCGGCCCCUGUACGAACGAAACCACAGCAACAUUGGUCUAAUUAAACACAUUAAAAUGUAUAUAUAUAUGUCGGAGCGGACAUUAGAAUUAGGGUUAGGGGCGUGAAACGAAUCUUCGUUUGGGUUACACGUUGUCGUUAUGCAAUAGAGAAGACAUUGACUAGUGCAAAUACGAUUAUUAUAGAACCGGACAAGUAACCGCGGUAGUUGGGUACUCGAGAAACUAAUGACAAUGAUCCUAGGUUCAAUAACGAAUCCGUGGUCGACGGGAUGAUAGACGAACGUACUCGCAAAAUCUAAGUCGGACGCGUGAUAUUCACUGGUCGUAAAGAGUUACUCCUUUCAUCAAUGAGAUCGCGAGCGAGAGUGCCUUUCCCGUCCCGAUGAUGCCACAGAGGAAAACUAUAACGGGGUGUAUCUAAGGAUACGAGAUCAUCGGAUUCGUCGAGAAAAGCCUUCGUUCAGAAAGUAAGGGAAAUUGACGUUGCUGCUAAUUGGUCAAUCUCCAUAUCGGUGGUUAGAAAAAGAUGCUAGCCGCCCUCGAGGGAAAGUUGUUAGUGGGAGACGCCGCUCGUUGAAAAAUAUGUCUCCCCUAUCUUCCCGUAGUUGGGACAAAGACCGUUUGUCCGUUUGAAGGACUUUAGUUAACUAAACCUUAAGAUUUAUAACGGGCCCUCGGGGUAGCCGAACAUGUACUGCGGAGACGCAUCGACAUCUGGCAAUCAUCUUACUCGAAGAAUAGGAUCUGCGCGUGGCGAGCCACGGGACAGAAACCGUUGGAACGUUUACUGUCGCGUGUCGCCACGAAUAUUUCCUUUAAGGAGAGCUAUAGAAUUACUCCAUACCUUUGCUAGGCAAAGCGUUCAUCCCGUGACCGCGGCUACGUUCGGCGACUGACUGUCGCCUCGAGCCCAAGCUCAUUAUCACGACUCUCGAACAAUUACAAUCGGAUUGAAUAACUACAAUUGUUCAAUUACAGCUAUAGUAGACUCUAGGUUACAAUGUUGCGGGAUUAUCCAAAAUUCCAAAGGCUCCGGUGUUCUUUCAUCUCCGACAUA